This 2234-nucleotide ribosomal RNA is filed under the name Escherichia sp. E4208. Its description in RNAcentral is "partial 23S ribosomal RNA". It matches the Rfam family "Bacterial large subunit ribosomal RNA", at positions 1 to 2253 of the family's 2925-position model. Lineage: Bacteria; Pseudomonadati; Pseudomonadota; Gammaproteobacteria; Enterobacterales; Enterobacteriaceae. The record is from RNAcentral.
GGGUUGUGAGGUUAAGCGACUAAGCGUACACGGUGGAUGCCCUGGCAGUCAGAGGCGAUGAAGGACGUGCUAAUCUGCGAUAAGCGUCGGUAAGGUGAUAUGAACCGUUAUAACCGGCGAUUUCCGAAUGGGGAAACCCAGUGUGAUUCGUCACACUAUCAUUAACUGAAUCCAUAGGUUAAUGAGGCGAACCGGGGGAACUGAAACAUCUAAGUACCCCGAGGAAAAGAAAUCAACCGAGAUUCCCCCAGUAGCGGCGAGCGAACGGGGAGCAGCCCAGAGCCUGAAUCAGUGUGUGUGUUAGUGGAAGCGUCUGGAAAGGCGCGCGAUACAGGGUGACAGCCCCGUACACAAAAAUGCACAUAUUGUGAGCUCGAUGAGUAGGGCGGGACACGUGGUAUCCUGUCUGAAUAUGGGGGGACCAUCCUCCAAGGCUAAAUACUCCUGACUGACCGAUAGUGAACCAGUACCGUGAGGGAAAGGCGAAAAGAACCCCGGCGAGGGGAGUGAAAAAGAACCUGAAACCGUGUACGUACAAGCAGUGGGAGCCUCUUUAUGGGGUGACUGCGUACCUUUUGUAUAAUGGGUCAGCGACUUAUAUUCUGUAGCAAGGUUAACCGAAUAGGGGAGCCGAAGGGAAACCGAGUCUUAACUGGGCGUUAAGUUGCAGGGUAUAGACCCGAAACCCGGUGAUCUAGCCAUGGGCAGGUUGAAGGUUGGGUAACACUAACUGGAGGACCGAACCGACUAAUGUUGAAAAAUUAGCGGAUGACUUGUGGCUGGGGGUGAAAGGCCAAUCAAACCGGGAGAUAGCUGGUUCUCCCCGAAAGCUAUUUAGGUAGCGCCUCGUGAAUUCAUCUCCGGGGGUAGAGCACUGUUUCGGCAAGGGGGUCAUCCCGACUUACCAACCCGAUGCAAACUGCGAAUACCGGAGAAUGUUAUCACGGGAGACACACGGCGGGUGCUAACGUCCGUCGUGAAGAGGGAAACAACCCAGACCGCCAGCUAAGGUCCCAAAGUCAUGGUUAAGUGGGAAACGAUGUGGGAAGGCCCAGACAGCCAGGAUGUUGGCUUAGAAGCAGCCAUCAUUUAAAGAAAGCGUAAUAGCUCACUGGUCGAGUCGGCCUGCGCGGAAGAUGUAACGGGGCUAAACCAUGCACCGAAGCUGCGGCAGCGACACUAUGUGUUGUUGGGUAGGGGAGCGUUCUGUAAGCCUGCGAAGGUGUACUGUGAGGUAUGCUGGAGGUAUCAGAAGUGCGAAUGCUGACAUAAGUAACGAUAAAGCGGGUGAAAAGCCCGCUCGCCGGAAGACCAAGGGUUCCUGUCCAACGUUAAUCGGGGCAGGGUGAGUCGACCCCUAAGGCGAGGCCGAAAGGCGUAGUCGAUGGGAAACAGGUUAAUAUUCCUGUACUUGGUGUUACUGCGAAGGGGGGACGGAGAAGGCUAUGUUGGCCGGGCGACGGUUGUCCCGGUUUAAGCGUGUAGGCUGGUUUUCCAGGCAAAUCCGGAAAAUCAAGGCUGAGGCGUGAUGACGAGGCACUACGGUGCUGAAGCAACAAAUGCCCUGCUUCCAGGAAAAGCCUCUAAGCAUCAGGUAACAUCAAAUCGUACCCCAAACCGACACAGGUGGUCAGGUAGAGAAUACCAAGGCGCUUGAGAGAACUCGGGUGAAGGAACUAGGCAAAAUGGUGCCGUAACUUCGGGAGAAGGCACGCUGAUAUGUAGGUGAAGCGACUUGCUCGUGGAGCUGAAAUCAGUCGAAGAUACCAGCUGGCUGCAACUGUUUAUUAAAAACACAGCACUGUGCAAACACGAAAGUGGACGUAUACGGUGUGACGCCUGCCCGGUGCCGGAAGGUUAAUUGAUGGGGUUAGCGCAAGCGAAGCUCUUGAUCGAAGCCCCGGUAAACGGCGGCCGUAACUAUAACGGUCCUAAGGUAGCGAAAUUCCUUGUCGGGUAAGUUCCGACCUGCACGAAUGGCGUAAUGAUGGCCAGGCUGUCUCCACCCGAGACUCAGUGAAAUUGAACUCGCUGUGAAGAUGCAGUGUACCCGCGGCAAGACGGAAAGACCCCGUGAACCUUUACUAUAGCUUGACACUGAACAUUGAGCCUUGAUGUGUAGGAUAGGUGGGAGGCUUUGAAGUGUGGACGCCAGUCUGCAUGGAGCCGACCUUGAAAUACCACCCUUUAAUGUUUGAUGUUCUAACGUGGACCCGUAAUCCGGGUUGCGGACA